RNAcentral lists this transfer RNA (68 nucleotides) under Marmota monax (woodchuck). RNAcentral's name for it is "tRNA.Ala". Lineage: Eukaryota; Metazoa; Chordata; Mammalia; Rodentia; Sciuridae. The record is from RNAcentral.
GGUUUGCGGCUCAGCGAUAGAGUGCUUGCCUAGCAUGUGUGAGGCCCUGGGUUCGAUCCUCAGCACCA